CGUCCUUGCUGUACCAGUGUAAAUAUUUAGUUUAAUUUUAAAAAUUAUAACACAAAAUAUACUUUUCGUAGUCUAAACUCUGUGUCUGGGGGGAAGGGAAGGAAUCCGGACCGCUUAGACCCGACCCCCUUCCUCGUAAAAUCGCCACUGAAUAUCUGUAUAGUGCGCCUGACGCGCGAUAGCCCCGUCACAUCGUAUUAUAAAUACGUUAUUGAUGAACCGUAGAUAUUAUAGCGCGUGAUGAACGCAAUAUAUAAAUUGAUGGGUAUCCCAUCGAAUUCCGACCGGAGUGAAGCGGAGCGCGGUUCGAGAAUCAAAAUUCGAGAGGACGGAACGUAGCGAGGGACGGUAAUAAUUUGAAAAUACCGUUUUUUCGAAUAAAGUUCACGAAAC
Molecule: non-coding RNA, 393 nt
Organism: Cinara cedri
Lineage: Eukaryota; Metazoa; Arthropoda; Insecta; Hemiptera; Aphididae
Source: the annotation of a GenBank genome assembly